Molecule: ribosomal RNA, 119 nt
Filed under: Diaphorina citri (Asian citrus psyllid)
Lineage: Eukaryota; Metazoa; Arthropoda; Insecta; Hemiptera; Psyllidae
Source: RNAcentral
ACCAGUGACGAUAGCAGGUUGAAUGUUCCAGUUCUAAAUGGAUCACUGAAGUUAAGCAACGUUGCGCGUAGUUAGUAUCCGGAUGGGUGACCAUCAGGGCAAUCACACUCAGGCUGGGU